GUGCCAGCAGCCGCGGUAAUACGGAGGGUGCAAGCGUUAUCCGGAUUUACUGGGUUUAAAGGGUGCGUAGGUGGGCAGGUAAGUCAGUGGUGAAAUCUCCGGGCUUAACCCGGAAACUGCCAUUGAUACUAUCUGUCUUGAAUAUCCUGGAGGUGAGCGGAAUAUGUCAUGUAGCGGUGAAAUGCUUAGAUAUGACAUAGAACACCAAUUGCGAAGGCAGCUCACUACGGGAUUAUUGACACUGAGGCACGAAAGCGUGGGGAUCAAACAGGAUUAGAAACCCGUGUAGUCC
RNAcentral lists this ribosomal RNA (292 nucleotides) under uncultured bacterium. Its description in RNAcentral is "partial 16S ribosomal RNA". It matches the Rfam family "Bacterial small subunit ribosomal RNA", at positions 505 to 796 of the family's 1533-position model. The record is from RNAcentral.